Molecule: ribosomal RNA, 566 nt
Filed under: uncultured bacterium
Lineage: Bacteria
Description: partial 16S ribosomal RNA
Rfam family: Bacterial small subunit ribosomal RNA
Source: RNAcentral
UGGGGAAUUUUGGACAAUGGGGCGAAAGCCUGAUCCAGCAAUGCCGCGUGUGUGAAGAAGGCCUUCGGGUUGUAAAGCACUUUUGUCCGGAAAGAAAUCCUUGGCUCUAAUACAGUCGGGGGAUGACGGUACCGGAAGAAUAAGCACCGGCUAACUACGUGCCAGCAGCCGCGGUAAUACGUAGGGUGCAAGCGUUAAUCGGAAUUACUGGGCGUAAAGCGUGCGCAGGCGGUUUGCUAAGACCGAUGUGAAAUCCCCGGGCUCAACCUGGGAACUGCAUUGGUGACUGGCAGGCUAGAGUAUGGCAGAGGGGGGUAGAAUUCCACGUGUAGCAGUGAAAUGCGUAGAGAUGUGGAGGAAUACCGAUGGCGAAGGCAGCCCCCUGGGCCAAUACUGACGCUCAUGCACGAAAGCGUGGGGAGCAAACAGGAUUAGAUACCCUGGUAGUCCACGCCCUAAAACGAUGUCAACUAGUUGUUGGGGAUUCAUUUCCUUAGUAACGUAGCUAACGCGUGAAGUUGACCGCCUGGGGAGUACGGUCGCAAGAUUAAAACUCAAAUGAAUUG